Molecule: ribosomal RNA, 450 nt
Filed under: uncultured bacterium
Lineage: Bacteria
Description: bacterial SSU rRNA
Rfam family: Bacterial small subunit ribosomal RNA
Source: RNAcentral
AACGAACGCUGGCGGCAGGCCUAACACAUGCAAGUCGAACGCCCGUAGCAAUACGGGAGUGGCAGACGGGUGAGUAACGCGUGGGAACGUGCCCUUCGGUUCGGAAUAACUCAGGGAAACUUGAGCUAAUACCGGAUACGUCCGUAAGGAGAAAGAUUUAUCGCCGAAGGAUCGGCCCGCGUCGGAUUAGCUAGUUGGUGAGGUAACGGCCCACCAAGGCGACGAUCCGUAGCUGGUCUGAGAGGAUGAUCAGCCACACUGGACUGAGACACGGCCCAGACUCCUACGGGAGGCAGCAGUGGGGAAUAUUGGACAAUGGGCGAAAGCCUGAUCCGGCCAUGCCGCGUGAGUGAAGAAGGCCUUAGGGUUGUAAAGCUCUUUCAGCGGGAAGAUAAUGACGGUACCCGCAGAAGAAGCCCCGGCUAACUUCGUGCCAGCAGCCGCGGUAAG